This 253-nucleotide ribosomal RNA is filed under the name uncultured bacterium. Its description in RNAcentral is "partial 16S ribosomal RNA". It matches the Rfam family "Bacterial small subunit ribosomal RNA", at positions 524 to 776 of the family's 1533-position model. The record is from RNAcentral.
UACGAAGGUCCCAAGCGUUAUCCGGAUUUAUUGGGUUUAAAGGGUGCGUAGGCGGGUUAUUAAGUCAGUGGUGAAAGCUCCAUGCCUAACAUGGAAAUUGCCAUUGAUACUGAUGAUCUUGAGUACAUUUGAAGUGGGCGGAAUGUGUCAUGUAGCGGUGAAAUGCUUAGAUAUGACACAGAACACCGAUUGCGUAGGCAGCUCACUAAACUGUAACUGACGCUGAGGCACGAAAGCGUGGGGAGCGAACAGG